CGUAGGAUGCUUCGAUCAGGAUGAGACAAUUAAAUCAGGAAAAUCAUGUUGUGCCGGAGGAACAUGUCAAAAGAUUGGACGACGGGCCGGUGGAUCGGUCGACAUAUCGACAGAAGGCUUCGGGCCGUGGACUCGAGCAUCGGGCCAAGAAGAGCGGGUAUUGUGCCAAGGAUAUCGGAGUUGCGGAGUCAACUGGUCGAUUGGGCAAUAGGCUGCAGGAGAGGACGAUACGCCGAAGA
Molecule: long non-coding RNA, 239 nt
Filed under: Musa acuminata (dwarf banana)
Lineage: Eukaryota; Viridiplantae; Streptophyta; Magnoliopsida; Zingiberales; Musaceae
Description: long non-coding RNA (MACU_LNC007258)
Source: RNAcentral